AUGGCUAACAUCAAGUGGAACACACCAAUGCCCAUUAAGUAUUCGGUGCAGUUCCUUGGGCAUGACAUGAUGACUACAAACCCUCUUGAUGUUAAUCCAUGGCCACCUCCUUGGUCAGAUGGAGUGAUUAGAGGCCGAGACUUAAGGCCUUCGCCAUGGCCGGGAUUAAAUUUUUGUGGGACGGUGGAACACUUGAUGCCACCAUGGCCACCCCCAACUCAGCCAAUGCCUCUAACGUAUCCAUCAAAAUUUGGCCUUGUGUUUACAAUAGAUGGAGUACACAUUGAUUGGAAUCUUGUUGUUGCAGUGCAUAAGAUAUUUUGGAGUGUGAUGAUCAAAUCAGUGAGACAUGUACCAAGCAUCAGUAGUGAGCUGGAUGACAUCCAAGGGAAAUCCACUAGGAUAUUUAUUGUUGUUAAAAUUCCUGAAGGAUGUAAUCCAAAGAAAUCAAGCUCUGCGACAACAGAAACACAAGUAUCACAUUUAUUCAACUCAUUCUCAGAACUAUUAGAUGUGCACUUGACCACUACUGAAAUGAGCCAAGAAGUUCGUUGUUGGCAGGGAGCUCUUGAGUUGCAAGUCAGUGUGAUCUUCUGGUUACUGGCAAGGAACAUCCAUCCUCCUAAAAUUGAAGUACAAGUACUGGAGUUUUUAUUGAGGGUGCUCAUUGGCAGUUUAAGUGAAAAAUACUCUGGUAAUACUAUUGAUCUUGAGGUGAACAAGCUCAAGACAUGGAUAUCUGAAAUGAUUGGAAGAACUGAUCGUGUUGAUGCUAAGUUCACAAUUGUUUGUCAGCUAUCAAGAUCACUUCAAUCUGGGACACAUAUUCUUGACCUUUAUUCUGCAGAGGAGCACAUUUUUGACAAUUUCCUUAAUGCUAUCAUGUGGUGUUCAGUUCCUAUCAAGAAUCUACAUAAACAGUGGGACCCUGGUGGCUCUGGUGAUACUUUGCAUCGGCUUGGGGACAAGCCGAAAUUUAAGGAGAGGAGAUUGUUAGGAACCCAAAUGGGCUGUCAACCACUUUCAAAGCAAGGCUGAAACAAGCAAA
This 1048-nucleotide long non-coding RNA is filed under the name Oryza sativa Indica Group (long-grained rice). RNAcentral describes it as "lncRNA OsMH63_02G016510". The record is from RNAcentral. Lineage: Eukaryota; Viridiplantae; Streptophyta; Magnoliopsida; Poales; Poaceae.